This 72-nucleotide transfer RNA is filed under the name Ixodes scapularis (black-legged tick). Its description in RNAcentral is "tRNA-Lys for anticodon CUU". The stretch from base 7 to 65 matches the Rfam family "tRNA", at positions 7 to 64 of the family's 71-position model. From Rfam's summary of the family: Transfer RNA (tRNA) molecules are approximately 80 nucleotides in length. Their secondary structure includes four short double-helical elements and three loops (D, anti-codon, and T loops). Further hydrogen bonds mediate the characteristic L-shaped molecular structure. tRNAs have two regions of fundamental functional importance: the anti-codon, which is responsible for specific mRNA codon recognition, and the 3' end, to which the tRNAs corresponding amino acid is attached (by aminoacyl-tRNA synthetases). tRNAs cope with the degeneracy of the genetic code in two manners: having more than one tRNA (with a specific anti-codon) for a particular amino acid; and 'wobble' base-pairing, i.e. permitting non-standard base-pairing at the 3rd anti-codon position. The record is from RNAcentral. Lineage: Eukaryota; Metazoa; Arthropoda; Arachnida; Ixodida; Ixodidae.
GCGCGCGUGGCCUAACGGUUAUGGCGCUUGCCUCUUACGCAGAAGGCCAGGGUUCGAUUCCUGGCAGCGGCU